Molecule: ribosomal RNA, 253 nt
Filed under: uncultured bacterium
Lineage: Bacteria
Description: partial 16S ribosomal RNA
Rfam family: Bacterial small subunit ribosomal RNA
Source: RNAcentral
UACGUAGGGUGCAAGCGUUGACCGGAAUUAUUGGGCGUAAAGAGCUCGUAGGCGGCUUGUCGCGUCGAAUGUGAAAUCUCAGGGCUCAACUCUGACAUUGCAUUCGAUACGGGCAGGCUAGAGUUCGGUAGGGGAGACUGGAAUUCCUGGUGUAGCGGUGAAAUGCGCAGAUAUCAGGAAGAACACCUAUGGCGAAAGCAGCUCUCUGGGACGGUACUGACGCUGAGACGCGAAAGCGUGGGGAGCGAACAGG